This 1761-nucleotide ribosomal RNA is filed under the name Triticum aestivum (bread wheat). Its description in RNAcentral is "partial small subunit ribosomal RNA". The record is from RNAcentral. Lineage: Eukaryota; Viridiplantae; Streptophyta; Magnoliopsida; Poales; Poaceae.
AUGCCGAUGGACACCCCGCCGCCGCGCGGGGCGGCGCUGUCCGACGACGACCGCCUCCUCGUCGCCCACUGCGCCGCGCUUUCCUUCCCCUCCGCCUCCCGCUCCCCGACCUCCGCUGCCUCCGCCUCCUUCCAGGUGCACCACGCGUCCCACCCCUACCCCUGCGCCGCCUUCGUCUUCCAGCCCACCUGGUCCGCCGCCGGCUGGAUGCCCUCCUCCCCCGACGCCGGCGGCCGCGCGCCGUUUGGGGACGCUGAGGUCGACCCCGCGCUCUUCCCGUCGCUGCGCAGCGUCGGGAGCGGCGUCCCCGCGCGCGCCAGCGCCGCCUUCGUCGCCGCCUUCAGGGGCCUGCUCGACGGCUCGCCGCUCCAAACCGAGGUAUCUAAAGCGGUGGCAGAGGAGAAACGCGUCGUAUUCACAGGCCAUUCAUCUGGAGGUUCAAUAGCCACCCUUGCUGCCAUAUGGUUUCUUGAGAACUGCACGAGACGGGGAAGUGUCAAUCAAGCACAGCCAUUUUGCGUGACCUUUGGGGCACCUCUUGUUGGCGAUAAUGUUUUCAACCAUGCUGUUAGAAGGGAGGGCUGGUCGCAGUGUAUUUUGCAUUUCAUCAUGCCACUGGACAUCAUCCCACGAAUACCGCUGGCCCCCCUUGAAUCCUCUAGAGAACAAAUUCAAUCUGUUCUGGAUUGGUUGUCUCCUCACAGUCCAAACUUCUCACCUGUUGGGAAUUCGCUUCGCCCUUUAUCGAAAAAAAAAUCCCCUUACAGACCCUGUGGGACUUAUCUUUUCUUGACAAGCACCGAACAACUGAUUAUUCUCACAAACUCAGAUGCUGUAUUACAGUUGCUAUUUUACUGCCUUCAAUUGGAUCCCCAACAACAAUUGCUUGAUGCUGCCGCCAGAAGUUUAAGUGCUCACUGGGAAUAUGAAUCGAUUAAGCAAAAUGUGAUGCAAGAGAUAGUUUGUGUGGAUUACCUAAGAGCAAUUUCAUCAUCCCUUCCUGGUAGACAGAUGAAUGGGACAGCAAUUGGUGGCCUUGAACUGAGUAAGGAAGCUAUGCUGAGCCUUGCUGCUGCUGCACAAUGGGAGAAGCAAAGAGAGAUAAACCAAGCAAAGAUAGAUGCAAACUGCAGUAAAAUUCAGGAAGCCCUCAAGUCCUUGAAUGAGUACAAAAGAACAUGCGAGCUGCAUGAAGUGAGCUACUAUGAUUCCUUCAAGCUUCAGCGGGAAGUGCAUGACUUCAAUUCAAAUGUACGGAGGCUGGAACUAGCCGGCCUUUGGGACGAGAUAAUUGAGAUGUUGCGAAGGCGUGAGCUUCCAGACGCGUUCGAAGGGCGAGAAGAGUGGGUGAAUCUGGGAACCUCGUACCGUCGGCUGGUUGAGCCCCUGGACAUUGCAAACUACUACAGGCAUUCCAAGAACGAGGACACCGGCUCCUACCUCUCCAAGGGCAGGCCGAGACGUUACAAGUAUACUCAGAAAUGGCGCGAGCAGUUGCACCGCAUCCCCUUGGGUUCCAGCCUCGAGUCGUGCUUCUGGGCAAUGUCCGAGGAGCUGCAGGCUGAGAUGAUCAACGGCAAAUCAUUCGAGGAUUUGAAAGACAGGGUGGGUAAACUGGAGAGUGAUGCACUUGGAUGGUUCACCUCGGGAAAUCUUGGCAGGGAUGUGUUUCUGAGCAGCUCAUCCUUUGUGAUAUGGUGGAAGACACUCCCGGAGCAGCACAGGUCCGCGUCGUGCAUCGCGAGACUUGUGCCUUCGUAA